CGGGGAGGCGGCCGGAGCGGCGGGGCCGCCCUCGGUGGCCCCGGCCUCCGGCGAGGGGGCCGGCUCCGGUUCGGGCGCCGGCUCCCGGCCC
RNAcentral lists this transfer RNA (91 nucleotides) under Streptomyces mashuensis. Its description in RNAcentral is "tRNA-Glu". Lineage: Bacteria; Bacillati; Actinomycetota; Actinomycetes; Kitasatosporales; Streptomycetaceae. The record is from RNAcentral.